UUAUAUACUGCAGCUGUGCUAUUUGAGCAGUCAAAUUGCAUUGACCGUAUAUUCAUAUGUGAUAUACAGUCACUGACCGUAUAUCACCUUGUUUAUGACGUUGACAAUGUGUUUCCGUAGAGUUUUAUUUAUGACGUCAAUAAAACAUACAGGUUCGCGGCAAUUUUACGUUGUCUGCUCACAAUUAAAGAAUGACGGUUUUUACCCUAAAUACUUCAUUUUGAACAGUUAUAAGAGUUGCAGUAUAUAAAGAAUAACCAUACAUUGUCUCGAAAUAUCAAUCUGUUAUUUGUACUCGGCUCG
RNAcentral lists this long non-coding RNA (303 nucleotides) under Mytilus galloprovincialis (Mediterranean mussel). Lineage: Eukaryota; Metazoa; Mollusca; Bivalvia; Mytilida; Mytilidae. The record is from RNAcentral.